AGUGAACGCUGGCGGUAGGCCUAACACAUGCAAGUCGAACGGCAGCACAGUAGGAGCUUGCUCUUACGGGUGGCGAGUGGCGGACGGGUGAGGAAUACAUCGGAAUCUACUUUUUCGGGGGGGAUAACGUAGGGAAACUUACGCUCAUACCGCAUACGACCUACGGGUGAAAGCAGGGGAUCUUCGGACCUUGCGCGAUUGAAUGCGCCGAUGUCGGAUUAGCUAGUUGGCGGGGUAAAGGCCCACCAAGGCGCCGAUCCGUAGCUGGUCUGAGAGGAUGAUCAGCCACACGGGAACUGGGACACGGUCCAGAGGACUACGGGAGGGAGCAGAUGGGAAUAUUGGACAAUGGGCGCGAGCCUGAUCCAACCAUACCGCGUGGGUGAAGGAGGCCUUCGGGUUGUAAAGCCCUUUUGUUGGGAAAGAAAAGCAGCAGGUUAAUACCCCGCUGUUCUGACGGUAACCAAAGAAUAAGCACCGGCUAACUACGUG
This 492-nucleotide ribosomal RNA is filed under the name uncultured bacterium. RNAcentral's name for it is "partial 16S ribosomal RNA". It matches the Rfam family "Bacterial small subunit ribosomal RNA", at positions 29 to 507 of the family's 1533-position model. The record is from RNAcentral.